ACAAUGGAGAGUUUGAUCCUGGCUCAGGAUGAACGCUAGCGGCAAGCUUAAUACAUGCAAGUCGAGGGGCAGCAUGAAGUAGCAAUACUUUGAUGGCGACCGGCAAACGGGUGCGGAACA
Molecule: ribosomal RNA, 120 nt
Filed under: Sediminibacterium sp.
Lineage: Bacteria; Pseudomonadati; Bacteroidota; Chitinophagia; Chitinophagales; Chitinophagaceae
Description: partial 16S ribosomal RNA
Rfam family: Bacterial small subunit ribosomal RNA
Source: RNAcentral